GCUUACGGCCACAACUCCCUGAGCACCGCCGAUCUCGUCUGAUCUCGGAAGCUAAGCAGGGUCGGGCCCGGUUAGUACUUGGAUGGGAGGGACCGCCUGGGAAUACCAGGCUGUAAGCC
RNAcentral lists this ribosomal RNA (119 nucleotides) under Esox lucius (northern pike). Lineage: Eukaryota; Metazoa; Chordata; Actinopteri; Esociformes; Esocidae. The record is from RNAcentral.